AUUCCAGCUCCAAUAGCGUAUAUUAAAGUUGUUGCAGUUAAAAAGCUCGUAGUUGGAUUUCUGUGAGAGUGCCGGUGUCGGCUGAUGCUUGUACGCAGGCGCUCUUACAUCCUUCUGUUAACUGUUCUUGGCAUUUUAUUGCUGGUUCAGGGCUCAGAUAUUUUACCUUGAGAAAAUUAGAGUGUUUCAGGCAGGCUUAUGCCGGAAUACAUUAGCAUGGAAUAAUGGAACAGGACCUGUGCGUCUCUCGGGGCGCCGGUCUCCGUUGUUGGUUUCGGGGACUAAUGUAAUGAUUAAUAGGGAUAGUUGGGGGCAUUAGUAUUUAAUAGUCAGAGGUGAAAUUCUCGGAUUUGUUAAAGACUAACUUAUGCGAAAGCAUUUGCCAAGGAUGUUUUCAUUA
This 400-nucleotide ribosomal RNA is filed under the name Holosticha sp. RNAcentral's name for it is "partial small subunit ribosomal RNA". It matches the Rfam family "Eukaryotic small subunit ribosomal RNA", at positions 582 to 975 of the family's 1831-position model. Lineage: Eukaryota; Ciliophora; Spirotrichea; Urostylida; Holostichidae. The record is from RNAcentral.